RNAcentral lists this ribosomal RNA (493 nucleotides) under uncultured bacterium. RNAcentral describes it as "bacterial SSU rRNA". It matches the Rfam family "Bacterial small subunit ribosomal RNA", at positions 8 to 507 of the family's 1533-position model. The record is from RNAcentral.
AGAGUUUGAUCAUGGCUCAGAAUGAACGUUGGCGGCGUGGAUUAGGCAUGCAAGUCGUACGCACAGCUUCGGCUGUGAGUGGCGCAAGGGUGAGUAAUGCGAAGGUAACCAACCCUGGUGUUGGGCAUAACCGCGGGAAACUGCGGGUAAUUCCCAGCGACGUCGCGAGAUGGCAUCAUCUUGCGACCAAAGGUGUGAUUCCGCUCUAGGACGGGCCUUCGUGGUAUUAGGUAGUUGGUGAGGUAACGGCUCACCAAGCCGACGAUGCCUACCGGGUGUGAGAGCAUGACCCGGCACACUGGAACUGAGACACUGUCCAGACACCUACGGGUGGCUGCAGUCGAGAAUCUUCGGCAAUGGGCGAAAGCCUGACCGAGCGACGCCGCGUGAGGGAAGAAGGCCUUCGGGUUGUAAACCUCUUUCGUAGAGGAGGAAGGGGCCGUGCAGAGCGGUCUUUGACCUAUUCUAGGAAGAAGCUUGGGCUAAGUUCGUG